CGAACGGGUGAGUAACACGUGGGUGACCUGCCCUCAGCUCUGGGAUAAGCCUGGGAAACCGGGUCUAAUACCGGAUAUGACCUCCUGUCGCAUGGCGGGUGGUGGAAAGUUUUUUCGGCUGAGGAUGGGCCCGCGGCCUAUCAGCUUGUUGGUGGGGUGAUGGCCUACCAAGGCGACGACGGGUAGCCGGCCUGAGAGGGCGACCGGCCACACUGGGACUGAGACACGGCCCAGACUCCUACGGGAGGCAGCAGUGGGGAAUAUUGCGCAAUGGGCGAAAGCCUGACGCAGCGACGCCGCGUGGGGGAUGACGGCCUUCGGGUUGUAAACCUCUUUCGCCAUCGACGAAGCCCUUCGGGGUGACGGUAGGUGGAGAAGAAGCACCGGCCAACUACGUGCCAGCAGCCGCGGUAAUACGUAGGGUGCGAGCGUUGUCCGGAAUUAUUGGGCGUAAAGAGCUCGUAGGCGGUGUGUCGCGUCGGUCGUGAAAACUUGGGGCUUAACCCUGAGCUUGCGGUCGAUACGGGCAUCACUUGAGUUCGGCAGGGGAGACUGGAAUUCCUGGUGUAGCGGUGAAAUGCGCAGAUAUCAGGAGGAACACCGGUGGCGGAGGCGGGUCUCUGGGCCGAUACUGACGC
This 638-nucleotide ribosomal RNA is filed under the name uncultured bacterium. Its description in RNAcentral is "bacterial SSU rRNA". It matches the Rfam family "Bacterial small subunit ribosomal RNA", at positions 99 to 746 of the family's 1533-position model. The record is from RNAcentral.